This 60-nucleotide non-coding RNA is filed under the name marine eukaryotic metagenome. The record is from RNAcentral.
AGAGCCGUAUGAAGCGAGAGUUUCACGUACGGUUCUGUGAGAGGCUGGAAGUGGAAGUGC